Acyrthosiphon pisum (pea aphid) is the source of this 479-nucleotide long non-coding RNA. RefSeq lists it as uncharacterized. NCBI's taxonomy places the organism in Eukaryota, Metazoa, Arthropoda, Insecta, Hemiptera, Aphididae. The record is from RefSeq and is a predicted model, not a curated record. The transcript has 2 exons.
AAAUCGUUCAUAGUGAACACCGAAGAGAUUUCGUCUAAAGACAUCGAUAAAUGCUGUGAUAGCAAACCCGAUUUAGAGAUUCUGAUAACAGAAGAACUUCCAACUUAUAACUGCACGAUAAACGACUUGAAGCCCGGUUCCACUUAUUCGAUCGGUGUAUUAUCAAAGACUUCAUCAUAUGGUCAAACUAAUAGAAUACACGUGACGACUCUAUCCACUCCUGCGGUCGCUGAAGACGUUGAAAAUGAUCAGCUAAUAACACUUGCAACGCAGACGUCAGACGAACCUAAAUAAUAUGUAUUUCCGCAAUUGACUUUGUGAAACUAUAAUAACGUAGAAUAUCAUUGCACCUUUAGAUUAACGUAUAGACUAUAGAAUAUUAUUGCACUUUAUGAUUCACGUGGAAGUUAUUUUUCAGGUACAUCUGCAGCUAUAUAUUGUUAUUUAAGUUUCGUUAAAUUUGUACUAUUAUUAUUUUA